UACGAAGGGGGCUAGCGUUGUUCGGAAUCACUGGGCGUAAAGCGCGUGUAGGCGGAUGGGUAAGUACCUUGUGAAAUCCCACGGCUCAACCGUGGAACUGCUCGGUAUACUGCUCGUCUUGAGCCAACUAGGGGCGACCGGAACAAACGGUGGAGCGGUGAAAUGCGUAGAUAUCGUUUGGAACGCCGAUGGUGAAAACAGGUCGCUGGGGUUGUGCUGACGCUGAGACACGAAAGCCAGGGGAGCGAACGGGG
RNAcentral lists this ribosomal RNA (254 nucleotides) under uncultured bacterium. Its description in RNAcentral is "partial 16S ribosomal RNA". It matches the Rfam family "Bacterial small subunit ribosomal RNA", at positions 524 to 777 of the family's 1533-position model. The record is from RNAcentral.